CCAAGCAUGACAGGACCAUUCACAUAAAGCCUGAAAUUUGUGUCAGUGUUAAAAUGCAUGGUAGUUAGACUCCGCCCCCUCCAGACUGCCUGCAUACUCACAGAUAUGGGCAUGUUGGACUGCGCCGACCUCUGCUGCCAGGUCACAAACAGGUUCUCGAUCUUCAUCUGCCUCUCCAUUUCUGUCACCACAAACAGAGUCAGCCAUCGCCUUGGGACACGCAACAGUUGGUGAAGCCCCGCCCCUUUUACCUCUCCGCUCAGCAGCUUUCAUCUCCAGCAGUUGGCCCCCGUGCCGGGCCACCACGUCGCCCUCCAUCAGGGGCCGGAUGGUGCAGACGUCCCUCAGGGCCUCGUCGAAGGGGAGCAGCUCAGAGGGGAAGUGGAGAGGGGCCAAACUGCGACCGGAGCCCCCCAUCCGACCCGGCUCUUUACUGGAGGGAGGCGGGACAGCGCUCCGGAGCAGUGCAUCGGGCUCCAUGGACGGACCGAGGAAUGGGUUCGGAUCCUUAAAAGCAGAAAUCAUGAAGCGGACCAUCAUUUCUACGGACACAGCGCUGAAGACUCUGCAGAGCUUCAGAACCAUUUGUAUUUUUCUGAAUGGGUCGGGGGUGUCGUGCGAGUGUGAACUUCUCAAACGUGUGGCGUGAUGGGAGCAGAGGACAUUCAGCGACCCGCCGCACGCCGCGGACAGGAACUUUGGGCAGACAGGCAGACAGCACGGCAGCAUGGACAGUGAGACACAGCAGCUCAUGGAAGCAAACACUCAGAACAACAGGAGCGUUAGAUGGCAAGCGUGGACAGAGAAACAGAGCAGGAGCGUGAAAGCUUUGACAUGAGACCUGCAGCUCUUCAUCCACGCCACACAGGAGCUUAAGGUAGAACUGCUGCAGACCCUCGAACUGAAGCUCCGUCCCUACGCAAUUUGGUUCGUCCAACCAAAACUCAAACUUUGUGAAGAACAGUUUGUUAUAAUCCUGCUUUGCUUAAUAUAUUUUACUAUCUACUUUUUUAAAAGUUAGCACUUGGUUUAAAUUCCAUCUGAUGAAAAUUUGUUCUAGUUUACACAUUUUUCAACUUCUGUCUGGUUUCUGAAAGUUUCAAACCUUUAAGCUUUUGGCCUGAAAGGUUUUUUUAACACCAAAAAAAGUUGACUUUCAUUAAAGGUUUUUAUUACCAUCAAGAUUUUUCAUGAGUUAAUAAAAUUAGAGAUUAUUGAAGCAGUUUUAGCAUAGAAAAUACAUUCAUUCAUCUUCUGGGUCUUUGUCCCCGUCAGCGUCUUGAGGGCGCCGGAGCCUAACGCCUGGUUCACGCUGGACGCGGAAGCGCGAAACGGAGGCUGUUUCCAUUCGGCGCCCUUGUUAACCUAAGGUGUGGCUCACACCAGGGGCGGAGUUCCGCGGUCUCCAGGGAAGGCUCGCGACGUGCAGCGGAUCGUUUCGGCGGCUGGUCUAUUUUGAGCGCGAGCGAUCCGCGUCAAUCCUGACAGGAAGUUACAUCAAGAUACAUGAGAAAAUCUGGUUCAUUUUCAAAAUAUAAUCAAUGUUUUUGUAUCUAAUAGGACUGUAGAGAUGAAAAUAAACAUACAAUAACAACACACACACACAGACAGAUCAAUGAAGUGGGCCGACUCUGGAGUGGGGCGUGGGGCUGGGUUUUGAGUGUAAAAAAACAACAAGAGAGUAAGAGUAAUAUUUUUAUGUUAUUAAUUUACUCAUGAUGACAAAAGCAAAAAAAGAGAAAAAGAAAAAAAUAAGAAAAAGCUAUAGCAGAAGUGCCUGUCGACCGUCGCAGAAAAAUGUGUGUCUGAUGUGAAUUGCAGGAGAGAGUGGAGGCCGCAUGCACUCCGCUUCUGCGUCCAGUGUGAACCAGGGCAAAGGCAGGGAACAUCCUGGACAGGUUGUCACAGGGCCUCAAUCACACAACCUGGGGGCAACUUAGAGUAACCAGUUAACCUAUGAAGCAUGUUUUUGGACAGUGGGAGGAAGCCGGAGUACCCUGACGAAAACCCACGCGUGCAUGGAGAGAACAUGCAAACUCUACACAGGAAGGUCCCCAGUUGAUUUUCUGAUUCAGAUUGCCCAGCUGGGAUUUGAACCGGGGCCUUCUUGCCGUGAGGCAAGAGCGCUAACCACUACACCAUCAUUUCAGCAUUGAAUCCUGCUCUCAGAUAGACUCAUGGAGGUGAAAACAUUUUCUAAUUUGAAAUGUUUGACUGCUCUAGCAGCUGAAGAUCUGCAGCAGGUCCUUCAAACAGUCAUAUUAGCUGUGAGAAUGUGAGCCGACUGGUUGUGAGCAGCUCGUGUGCACACGUGCAGGCAGCUGGGGGCCGGUGUUCUGGCUGUACCUUGCUCCGUGCUGCAGUGCCACUGAUGGAAGUUUCGACCAAUCAGAAUGAAGCUCCUCAGAGAGUCUGGAGGAUGGCUGAGGUCCUGGACCUCAGGGAACGGCACAAAGGUGUCUCCUGAGGGGGGGCAGCCGCAGGAGCUACAAAAAACAGAACAAAGUGGUUUCAUUAUAAGAGAGAGAACCCGAGGAGGAGGAGUGUGGGGCGGUUAGCAGCUGAUUCCAGACUGAACUGCAGCUCACCUGAUCUUUUCAAACACUUUCACCGUCGUAUCACUGGCCAGGGAAGAGACCAGGUUGACGAUCUCUGAGAGGAGGGAGGGCAGCAGGAAGUUUGAGGCCAUCUCAGCUGUGCACUGCUGGAUGGAGGGGCAGCCUGUGGGGGGUGAAGGCAACAGGACAGGGAGGAAACAUUAUAAAACCUCAGCUAAACCUUCAAUCAUCCAACUAGGUGCAGAAACCACGCUUCUAGUUUCCAUGACCUGAAACCAGUUUAUCAGAGAAGGCUAGUUAAGUCCACUGAUGCAUGUCACCAGCUUACCCAGAUUAGUCAUGAAGGUGAUCCAGGCCUGGCAGGUGUGCUGGUAGACCGGGUGCAAGAAGCCCACAUCUCCUUCUUCCAGCUGAGACGCUUGCUUCCUGCACAACCACAAACCCGCUGUGGUUACAUGACGGCUUUCCACUCCCCACAGCUGACAGGAUGAAACACCCAAUGACGUUUAAACUGGUGCAAAGGUGUAAUACCUCCAGCAAACAGCAGGUG
RNAcentral lists this long non-coding RNA (3108 nucleotides) under Oryzias javanicus (javanese ricefish). Its description in RNAcentral is "lncRNA (ENSOJAG00000013032.1)". Lineage: Eukaryota; Metazoa; Chordata; Actinopteri; Beloniformes; Adrianichthyidae. The record is from RNAcentral.